This 220-nucleotide ribosomal RNA is filed under the name uncultured bacterium. RNAcentral describes it as "partial 16S ribosomal RNA". It matches the Rfam family "Bacterial small subunit ribosomal RNA", at positions 57 to 305 of the family's 1533-position model. The record is from RNAcentral.
GCAAGUCGAGCGCACCCUUCGGGUCGAGCGUCGGACGGGUUAGUAACGCGUGGGAAUAUACCCUUCACUACGGAAUAGCCUCGGGAAACUGAGAGUAAUACCGUAUACGCCCUUCGGGGGAAAGAUUUAUCGGUGAUGGAUGAGCCCGCGUCUGAUUAGAUAGUUGGUGGGGUAAUGGCCUACCAAGCCUACGAUCUAUAGCUGGUUUGAGAGGAUGAUC